RNAcentral lists this ribosomal RNA (427 nucleotides) under uncultured bacterium. Its description in RNAcentral is "bacterial SSU rRNA". It matches the Rfam family "Bacterial small subunit ribosomal RNA", at positions 355 to 774 of the family's 1533-position model. The record is from RNAcentral.
UAAGGAAUAUUGGUCAAUGGACGCAAGUCUGAACCAGCAAUGCCGCGUGCAGGAUGAAGGCCUUCGGGUUGUAAACUGCUUUUGUACGGAACGAAAAGGCUCUGGUUAAUACCUGGGGCUCAUGACGGUACCGUAAGAAUAAGCACCGGCUAACUACGUGCCAGCAGCCGCGGUAAUACGUAGGGUGCAAGCGUUAAUCGGAAUUACUGGGCGUAAAGCGUGCGCAGGCGGUUAUGUAAGACAGAUGUGAAAUCCCCGGGCUCAACCUGGGACCUGCAUUUGUGACUACAUAGCUAGAGUACGGCAGAGGGGGAUGGAAUUCCGCGUGUAGCAGUGAAAUGCGUAGAUAUGCGGAGGAACACCGAUGGCGAAGGCAAUCCCCUGGGCCUGUACUGACGCUCACGCACGAAAGCGUGGGGAGCAAACA